AUUGAACGCUGGCGGCAUGCCUUACACAUGCAAGUCGAACGGCAGCACGGGAGCAAUCCUGGUGGCGAGUGGCGAACGGGUGAGUAAUAUAUCGGAACGUGCCCAGUCGUGGGGGAUAACGUAGCGAAAGCUACGCUAAUACCGCAUACGAUCUAUGGAUGAAAGCGGGGGAUCGCAAGACCUCGCGCGAUUGGAGAGGCCGAUAUCAGAUUAGGUAGUUGGUGAGGUAAAGGCUCACCAAGCCGACGAUCUGUAGCUGGUCUGAGAGGACGACCAGCCACACUGGGACUGAGACACGGCCCAGACUCCUACGGGAGGCAGCAGUGGGGAAUUUUGGACAAUGGGCGCAAGCCUGAUCCAGCAAUGCCGCGUGCAGGAUGAAGGCCUUCGGGUUGUAAACUGCUUUUGUACGGAGCGAAAAGGCUUCCACUAAUACUGGGGGCUCAUGACGGUACCGUAAGAAAAAGCACCGGCUAACUACGUGCCAGCCGCCGCGGUAA
Molecule: ribosomal RNA, 500 nt
Filed under: uncultured bacterium
Lineage: Bacteria
Description: partial 16S ribosomal RNA
Rfam family: Bacterial small subunit ribosomal RNA
Source: RNAcentral